RNAcentral lists this unclassified non-coding RNA (300 nucleotides) under Lecanoromycetes sp. RNAcentral describes it as "partial contains small subunit ribosomal RNA and internal transcribed spacer 1". Lineage: Eukaryota; Fungi; Ascomycota; Lecanoromycetes. The record is from RNAcentral.
AAGUCGUAACAAGGUUUCCUUCACCUAUUGAAGCCUUCAGCAGCGACUGUAAAAAAAAUGCGUAGUUUGCUUGCAAGCAAUGCCACUCAAAUGCUGAGACAUAUGAAUCAGCAGCCUUCUAGGCUCACAGAUCAAAUUGUGGUAACCAUUUUCAUGGGCAAGAUAUGACCGGUCUUAACUAGAGUUAGUUAAGAAUCCACGUUCCGUAGGUGAACCUGCGGAAGGAUCAUUCACAAUGAGUGUUUUAUGGCACUCUUUAAAAAUCCAUAUCCACCUUGUGUGCAAUGUUUGUUGGGAGAG